RNAcentral lists this ribosomal RNA (499 nucleotides) under Hypoxylon sp. C14A. RNAcentral describes it as "eukaryotic LSU rRNA". The stretch from base 162 to 315 matches the Rfam family "5.8S ribosomal RNA". Lineage: Eukaryota; Fungi; Ascomycota; Sordariomycetes; Xylariales; Hypoxylaceae. The record is from RNAcentral.
UCCGUAGGUGAACCUGCGGAGGGAUCAUUACUGAGUUCUAUAACUCCCACCCUAUGUGAACAUACUAUAGUUGCCUCGGCGAGGCCUUAGGGCUUCGCCGGUGGACCACUAAACUCUGAUUUAUCCACUGUAUCUCUGAAUUUAGUAACGAAAUACGUUAAAACUUUCAACAACGGAUCUCUUGGUUCUGGCAUCGAUGAAGAACGCAGCGAAAUGCGAUAAGUAAUGUGAAUUGCAGAAUUCAGUGAAUCAUCGAAUCUUUGAACGCACAUUGCGCCCAUUAGUAUUCUGAUGGGCAUGCCUAUUCGAGCGUCAUUUCAACCCUUACGCCCUGUAGCGUAGUGUUGGGAAUCUACCGACAGAUAGUUCCUCAAAUCGAUUGGCGGAGUUAGUGCAUACUCUAGGCGUAGUAAUACCAUUCUCGCUUCUGUAGUAGUGCUAGCGGCNGGCCACUAAACCCCCUAUACUUCUAGUGGUUGACCUCGGAUUAGGUAGGAAU